Molecule: ribosomal RNA, 417 nt
Filed under: uncultured bacterium
Lineage: Bacteria
Description: bacterial SSU rRNA
Rfam family: Bacterial small subunit ribosomal RNA
Source: RNAcentral
UGGGGAAUAUUGCGCAAUGGGCGAAAGCCUGACGCAGCUACGCCGCGUGAGUGAUGAAGGCCCUCGGGUUGUAAAGCUCUGUCGGGAGGGACGAAGGCAGCUUGCUGCUUGACGGUACCUCGCAAGAAAGCACCGGCUAACUCCGUGCCAGCAGCCGCGGUAAUACGGAGGGUGCAAGCGUUGCUCGGAAUUACUGGGCGUAAAGCGGGCGCAGGCGGUCCGUACAAGUCGGGUGUGAAAGCCCGGGGCUCAACCCCGGAACUGCAUCCGAAACUGUCGGACUUGAGUCAAGGAGAGGGUAGCGGAAUUCCUGGUGUAGAGGUGAAAUUCGUAGAUAUCAGGAGGAACAUCAGUGGCGAAGGCGGCUACCUGGCCUUGUACUGACGCUCAUGCCCGAAAGCGUGGGGAGCAAACAGG